GAUGAAGAACGCAGCGAAAUGCGAUAAGUAAUGUGAAUUGCAGAAUUCAGUGAAUCAUCGAAUCUUUGAACGCACAUUGCGCCCGCCAGCAUUCUGGCGGGCAUGCCUGUUCGAGCGUCAUUUCAACCCUCGAGCCCCCCCGGGGGCCUCGGUGUUGGGGGACGGCACACCAGCCGCCCCCGAAAUCCAGUGGCGACCCCGCCGCAGCCUCCCCUGCGUAGUAGCACACACCUCGCACCGGAGCGCGGAGGCGGUCACGCCGUAAAACGCCCAACUUUCUUAGAGUUGACCUCGGAUCAGGUAGGAAUACCCGCUGAACUUAAGCAUAUCAAUAAGCGGAGGA
This 343-nucleotide unclassified non-coding RNA is filed under the name soil metagenome. RNAcentral describes it as "partial contains 5.8S ribosomal RNA, internal transcribed spacer 2, and large subunit ribosomal RNA". The stretch from base 1 to 120 matches the Rfam family "5.8S ribosomal RNA", at positions 35 to 154 of the family's 154-position model. The record is from RNAcentral.